GAAAAAAGGAUCAAGAUCAGAUCCUUUUGGGACACCACAUGCAUCAUUCUUAUGGGACACCACGUAAACUGAAUCAUACAGCUAUCUGUUGCUGAAAUAAACAAAGCCAAGACAACACUAUCUUUCUAAAGAAAAUCGAGGAAGGAUUUGAAGAUUAACUGUGUCGAAGGCUUAUUGAAAACAAGAAAAAGUCCACAUCCACGCUCUUUAUGACAUCAACGAUAAUCUUAAACCUAUCAGUGCUACAAGGAAGAAAGAGGCUUAAGAAAGUUUUCACAAAGCUUCUUUGCCUUGUGAAAAGUGUCGAUAUCAAAUUGAUCAAAGGAAGCAAAAAGGCCAUUUGGGAAAAUGCAUUGAAUAUUCAAUGUUCAUCACAAGGUUGCUUUUAAUUUAGGCGUCGGAACUUCUCACUUCAUGUACAUGUGUAGUUAAAUAUUGGAUGUUUUUUAAGAAGAUGACUCUCAAUUUCGGCGUUUAAGUUUUCUAAAUAAUUUUUGCAUAAAUAUUCGGGAGCAAUUUAAUGUCAAUCCUGGCCAAUUGCUUGAGAAAAUUUUCACCCGAAUUUUCCUGAUACAAUCUCUAUUUUCUUGUUUGAUCUUUAAAAUGAUAACGAGUCUCGAAAAUUAUCUCUCUGGUAUUCAUGACGGGUACCGCUCUCAUUUAAAUCAUAAUACUUGACAAUUAAUGAUGUAGCUGUCCUCAUAGUACUUUGUGGUGAUUCAGAAAUAGCUGAGAAAAAAAGACUUUAGAUAAUAGCCGCGAAGGAAAAAGUAAAUUGAAUUUGUAGCUGUAGAAAGAAUAUGGCUUGUAUUAUGAAGUAUGUCGGAUCACUUCGGCCUUCUUCCAGUUGUUCUCAGAGCAGAGCCUGUACAAUAGAGAACCAUAGUUGCCCUUGACUUUAUUAUUUUUACCUUCUAGAGGCUGUGAUACUCCGCAAUUGGUCCCAUCUGCUUAUGCAUCAAUCAAGUUCCUCGUUGGGAUAAGACAGACUUGAGUUCAGGCGAAUCUAAUAUUUGUGAUAAGGAAGAUGUUUCUGUUGUGCUGAAAAAUUCCACUGUCAUGGAACAAUGAUACCGUGGCAUAUGGCAUUCAGUUUUUGCCAAGGUUAAUAACGGCGAAAAUCAUGACAAGUAGAAAAGUAUUAAGACCUUUUGGUGCCUAUGGCCUCAAAGAAUGAUGUAAAGAAUCUUCAGAAGAAUUUGUUUCAGAAGAGGAAGUCAACUGGUGCCAGGAAAUGUUCUCCCGGAAAGUUCCUAUUGUAUUCUUGGUUCUACUUUCUACUACCAAAGAGCGAGUCAUCACACGAUGAUGCAAGCCAUUCAUUUUUAUGUUGAUUCUUGUCCUCAGCUUCAAUUCAAAG
Rhopilema esculentum is the source of this 1360-nucleotide non-coding RNA. The record is from RefSeq and is a predicted model, not a curated record. Lineage: Eukaryota; Metazoa; Cnidaria; Scyphozoa; Rhizostomeae; Rhizostomatidae.